RNAcentral lists this ribosomal RNA (497 nucleotides) under uncultured bacterium. Its description in RNAcentral is "partial 16S ribosomal RNA". It matches the Rfam family "Bacterial small subunit ribosomal RNA", at positions 28 to 507 of the family's 1533-position model. The record is from RNAcentral.
GAUGAACGCUGGCGGCGUGCCUAAUACAUGCAAGUCGAGCGAACGGACGAGAAGCUUGCUUCUCUGAUGUUAGCGGCGGACGGGUGAGUAACACGUGGAUAACCUACCUAUAAGACUGGGAUAACUUCGGGAAACCGGAGCUAAUACCGGAUAAUAUUUUGAACCGCAUGGUUCAAAAGUGAAAGACGGUCUUGCUGUCACUUAUAGAUGGAUCCGCGCUGCAUUAGCUAGUUGGUAAGGUAACGGCUUACCAAGGCAACGAUGCAUAGCCGACCUGAGAGGGUGAUCGGCCACACUGGAACUGAGACACGGUCCAGACUCCUACGGGAGGCAGCAGUAGGGAAUCUUCCGCAAUGGGCGAAAGCCUGACGGAGCAACGCCGCGUGAGUGAUGAAGGUCUUCGGAUCGUAAAACUCUGUUAUUAGGGAAGAACAUAUGUGUAAUUAACUGUGCUCAUCCUGACGGUACCUAAUCAGAAAGCCACGGCUAACUACGUG